CCUACGGGUGGCUGCAGUGGGGAAUUUUCCACAAUGGGCGAAAGCCUGAUGGAGCAAUACCGCGUGGGUGAUGACGGUUCGUGGACUGUAAAGCCCUUUUCUUAAGGAAGAAAAAAUGACGGUACUUAAGGAAUAAGCACCGGCUAACUCUGUGCCAGCAGCCGCGGUAAUACAGGGGGUGCAAGCGUUGUCCGGAAUGAUUGGGCGUAAAGCAUCUGUAGGUGGUUUUUAAAGUCAACUGUUAAAUCCCAGAGCUCAACUUUGGACAAGCAGUU
RNAcentral lists this ribosomal RNA (275 nucleotides) under uncultured bacterium. Its description in RNAcentral is "partial 16S ribosomal RNA". It matches the Rfam family "Bacterial small subunit ribosomal RNA", at positions 338 to 628 of the family's 1533-position model. The record is from RNAcentral.